Molecule: unclassified non-coding RNA, 331 nt
Filed under: Hevea brasiliensis (rubber tree)
Lineage: Eukaryota; Viridiplantae; Streptophyta; Magnoliopsida; Malpighiales; Euphorbiaceae
Source: RNAcentral
AUAAAAACACUUUUUAAAUCAUUGCAAAAGGCAACAUUCAUAUUUUUUAUGCAUUUUUAUUUUUGGGAAGGGGGGGGGUUUGGGGGGGCCGGGGCCGGAGGUGCAAGGAUUCAAAAAUGAUUUUCGUUUGUCAAUAUCAACAUUACAGGAUGGCUUACAUGUUUCGUGGAUUGGUAGUUGGUAGCCCACAAGUCAAUAAUGAAUAACAAAAAUGACAAAACUGAACAAAACUCACCAAGCUGUUUUAAUUAUUGUGAAUGUGAUGCAAUUGGUUUGUGCUGCUGUGCACGUGCAUUCAUAUUCAUCAAGGUACAAGGCAUUAUAAUCAAAG